Molecule: ribosomal RNA, 703 nt
Filed under: uncultured bacterium
Lineage: Bacteria
Description: bacterial SSU rRNA
Rfam family: Bacterial small subunit ribosomal RNA
Source: RNAcentral
GAGUUUGAUUAUGGCUCAGUAUUGAACGCUGGCGGCAGGCCUAACACAUGCAAGUCGAGCGGUAACAGGAAUUAGCUUGCUAAUUCGCUGACGAGCGGCGGACGGGUGAGUAAUGCCUGGGAAUAUGCCUUAGUGUGGGGGAUAACUAUUGGAAACGAUAGCUAAUACCGCAUAACGUCUUCGGACCAAAGAGGGGGACCUUCGGGCCUCUCGCGCUAAGAUUAGCCCAGGUGGGAUUAGCUAGUUAGUGAGGUAAAGGCUCACCAAGGCAACGAUCCCUAGCUGGUCUGAGAGGAUGAUCAGCCACACUGGAACUGAGACACGGUCCAGACUCCUACGGGAGGCAGCAGUGGGGAAUAUUGCACAAUGGGGGAAACCCUGAUGCAGCCAUGCCGCGUGUAUGAAGAAGGCCUUCGGGUUGUAAAGUACUUUCAGUCGUGAGGAAGAUUAUACAGUUAAUAGCUGUGUGAUUUGACGUUAGCGACAGAAGAAGCACCGGCUAACUCCGUGCCAGCAGCCGCGGUAAUACGGAGGGUGCGAGCGUUAAUCGGAAUUACUGGGCGUAAAGCGCAUGCAGGCGGUCUGUUAAGCAAGAUGUGAAAGCCCGGGGCUCAACCUCGGAACCGCAUUUUGAACUGACAGACUAGAGUCUUGUAGAGGGGGGUAGAAUUUCACGUGUAGCGGUGAAAUGCGUAGAGAUCUG